This 400-nucleotide ribosomal RNA is filed under the name uncultured bacterium. RNAcentral describes it as "bacterial SSU rRNA". It matches the Rfam family "Bacterial small subunit ribosomal RNA", at positions 355 to 772 of the family's 1533-position model. The record is from RNAcentral.
UGGGGAAUAUUGGACAAUGGGCGAAAGCCUGAUCCAGCAAUGCCGCGUGAGUGAUGAAGGCCUUAGGGUUGUAAAGCUCUUUUACCCGGGAUGAUAAUGACAGUACCGGGAGAAUAAGUCCCGGCUAACUCCGUGCCAGCAGCCGCGGUAAUACGGAGGGGGCUAGCGUUGUUCGGAAUUACUGGGCGUAAAGCGCGCGUAGGCGGCUUUGUAAGUCAGAGGUGAAAGCCUGGAGCUCAACUCCAGAACUGCCUUUGAAACUGUCGGGCUUGAGGCCGGGAGGGGGUAGCGGAAUUCCCAGUGUAGCGGUGAAAUGCGUAGAUAUUGGGAGGAACACCGGUGGCGAAGGCGGCUACCUGGACCGGUUCUGACGCUGAUGCGCGAAAGCGUGGGUAGCAAA